This 1209-nucleotide ribosomal RNA is filed under the name Triticum aestivum (bread wheat). RNAcentral's name for it is "partial small subunit ribosomal RNA". The record is from RNAcentral. Lineage: Eukaryota; Viridiplantae; Streptophyta; Magnoliopsida; Poales; Poaceae.
AUGGGCACCAGCAACGCGCGAUGGCUGAUGCUCGUGUCGUGUCUGGCCGUCAUGGCCCUGGCGGUGGGAGUAAAGGCGACGGUCGGCGGGUUCGCGAGGGCGGACGGGGCGCGGUUCACGGUGGGCGGCCGGCCGUUCUACCCGAACGGCUUCAACGCAUACUGGCUCAUGUACAUGGCGUCGAACCCCGCCGACCGGAGCAAGGUGCUCGACGUGCUGGACCAGGCGUCCCGCCUCGGCGCGACGGUCAUCAGGACGUGGGCCUUCAGCGAUGGGGGCAGCAACCGGCCGCUGCAGACCACCCCCGGCGUGUACAGCGAGGACGUGUUCGUGGGACUAGACUUCGUGAUCGCCGAAGCGAAGAAGCGAGGUCUCUACUUGAUCCUGAGCCUGGUGAACAACUGGGGUGACUUUGGUGGGAAGAAACAGUACGUGCAGUGGGCCAAAGACCAGGGCCACAACCUGGGCUCCGAGGACGACUUCUUCAGGGACGCCCUCACCCAGCAAUUGUACAAGAAACACGUCGAGAAGGUGCUGACGAGGAUCAACAGCUUCACGGGGGUGGCGUACAAGGACGAGCCCAGCAUCUUUGCAUGGGAGCUGAUGAACGAGCCCCGCGUCCCGACCGACCCCUCCGGGAAGACCAUGCAGGCCUGGGUCACGCUCAUGUCCUCCUACGUCAAGUCCAUGGACGAUAAGCACAUGGUGGAGGUCGGACUCGAGGGGUUCUACGGGGAGUCCACGCCGGAGCUCAAGCGGAUCAACCCUGGCGGAGACUCCGCGGGCACCGACUUCAUCGGAAACAACCGCAUCCCCACCGUCGACUUCGCCACCAUCCACUACUACCCCGACGUGUGGCUGCCGGGUUCGACCAGGGAGCAGCAGGUGGAGUUCUGGAAGACGUGGAUGGCCUCGCACAUCGAGGAAACGGCGAAGGCGCUGCGGAAGCCGCUGGUGGUGGCUGAGUUUGGAUGGAACUCCGUCGGCGGCGCGGUGGCGGCGCGGGACGACUACUUCCGCAUGGUGUACGACGCCAUCUACGCGUCGGUGAAGGGGGGCGGGCCGUGCGCCGGGGGCCUCUUCUGGCAGGUCCUGGCGCCCGGGAUGGAGAGCUGGGCCGACCGCUACGCCGUCGUGCUUGAGCGCAGCUCCACCACCGCCGCCAUCGUCUCCCAGGAGUUCGCUAGGAUCGCCGGAAUCACGCCGUGA